RNAcentral lists this small RNA (119 nucleotides) under Klebsiella aerogenes. Its description in RNAcentral is "RtT sRNA". It matches the Rfam family "RtT RNA". Rfam says of the family: This family represents a bacterial cis-regulatory element known as RtT RNA. The exact function of RtT is unknown although it is thought that it may be involved in changing the cellular response in relation to amino acid starvation. The record is from RNAcentral. Lineage: Bacteria; Pseudomonadati; Pseudomonadota; Gammaproteobacteria; Enterobacterales; Enterobacteriaceae.
UAUUCUGCCCUGCGGGGAAGGAUGAGAAGCUUCGACUUAGGUUCGACUCGAGCGUCAGCGAGAGAACGUUGCCGCAGGGAGAGGCGCUUUAGCGCCGAGUAAUCCUUCCCCCACCACCA